GUCUGUGGCUCAACCAUAGAAUUGCCGUUGAAACUGGGAGGCUUGAGUAUGUUUGAGGCAGGCGGAAUGCGUGGUGUAGCGGUGAAAUGCAUAGAUAUCACGCAGAACCCCGAUUGCGAAGGCAGCCUGCCAAGCCAUUACUGACGCUGAUGCACGAAAGCGUGGGGAUCAAACAGGAUUAGAUACCCUGGUAGUCCACGCAGUAAACGAUGAUCACUAGCUGUUUGCGAUACACUGUAAGCGGCACAGCGAAAGCGUUAAGUGAUCCACCUGGGGAGUACGCCGGCAACGGUGAAACUCAAAGGAAUUGACGGGGGCCCGCACAAGCGGAGGAACAUGUGGUUUAAUUCGAUGAUACGCGAGGAACCUUACCCGGGUUUGAACGCAUUCGGACCGAGGUGGAAACACCUUUUCUAGCAAUAGCCGUUUGCGAGGUGCUGCAUGGUUGUCGUCAGCUCGUGCCGUGAGGUGUCGGCUUAAGUGCCAUAACGAGCGCAACCCUUGCCACUAGUUACUAACAGGUAAAGCUGAGGACUCUGGUGGGACUGCCAGCGUAAGCUGCGAGGAAGGCGGGGAUGACGUCAAAUCAGCACGGCCCUUACAUCCGGGGCGACACACGUGUUACAAUGGCGUGGACAAAGGGAAGCCACCUGGCGACAGGGAGCGAAUCCCCAAACCACGUCUCAGUUCGGAUCGGAGUCUGCAACCCGACUCCGUGAAGCUGGAUUCGCUAGUAAUCGCGCAUCAGCCAUGGCGCGGUGAAUACGUUCCCGGGCCUUGUACACACCGCCCGUCAAGCCAUGGGAGCCGGGGGUACCUGAAGUCCGUAACCGCGAGGAUCGGCCUAGGGUAAAACUGGUGA
This 862-nucleotide ribosomal RNA is filed under the name uncultured organism. RNAcentral's name for it is "SSU rRNA". It matches the Rfam family "Bacterial small subunit ribosomal RNA", at positions 600 to 1474 of the family's 1533-position model. The record is from RNAcentral.